GUAACAAGGUCUCCGUUGGUGAACCAGCGGAGGGAUCAUUGCUGGAACGCGCCCCAGGCGCACCCAGAAACCCUUUGUGAACUUAUACCUUUUGUUGCCUCGGCGCUGCUGGUCUCUAGUAGGCCCCUCACUUCGGUGAGGAAAAGGCACGCCGGCGGCCAAAUCAACUCUGUUUUUACACUGAAACUCUGAGAAAAAACACAAAUGAAUCAAAACUUUCAACAACGGAUCUCUUGGUUCUGGCAUCGAUGAAGAACGCAGCGAAAUGCGAUAAGUAAUGUGAAUUGCAGAAUUCAGUGAAUCAUCGAAUCUUUGAACGCACAUUGCGCCCUCUGGUAUUCCGGAGGGCAUGCCUGUUCGAGCGUCAUUUCAACCCUCAAGCAUUGCUUGGGUGUUGGGGCACUGCUUCUAACGAAGCAGGCCCUGAAAUCUAGUGGCGAGCUCGCCAGGACCCCGAGCGCAGUAGUUAAACCCUCGCUCUGGAAGGCCCUGGCGGUGCCCUGCCGUUAAACCCCCAACUUCUGAAAAUUGA
Molecule: ribosomal RNA, 532 nt
Filed under: fungal endophyte
Lineage: Eukaryota; Fungi
Description: eukaryotic LSU rRNA
Rfam family: 5.8S ribosomal RNA (bases 214-367)
Source: RNAcentral